AACACCAUAUUCUUGCAAUGCAUC
Molecule: microRNA, 24 nt
Filed under: Ananas comosus (pineapple)
Lineage: Eukaryota; Viridiplantae; Streptophyta; Magnoliopsida; Poales; Bromeliaceae
Description: microRNA s1191_c020b
Source: RNAcentral